UGCUUUCAGAAGAACAAGUCUCUCCUCUCCCCCGGUUUGCAUACCUCGGUCCUCGGGUUUCUGCGGCCUAUCGACUCUGAGACCGGAAGAUCGCUGCAGGCUUCGGAGGAUGGAGUAACAGAGUGCUACUUAUGGUGUUACACUGAGUGGAUUUUCUGCUGAGAUAGUAUCGUGAAGGACUGGAGAAACAUGUCAGGACAGUCAAUAUCAUUACCUGUCCAUUUGAAAGCAAAUCAAUUUUGGGGAUUGAUCUUUAUUGCAUUUGGGUUCAUUUCAUUUGUGGGAUUUUCCUAUGCUGCUAUACUAUCCAAGCUUCUUCCACAAUCUGAGAAUAUAUUUUUAUCUGCCAUUCAGAGUGACAGAUACUACUGCCUACUGGUCCCCUUGACACUACCUGUACUUGUCGUGGCAGUGUACUUUCAUUGGCUCAGCAUGAAGCUUUUCAAGCAUGCAUAAAAUUAGCUCCAUCAGUUACAGAUAUCCAAAGACUAUCUAAAUUAUUAUAAUCUUGCCCAAAGGUGGUUCGAUGUGCUCUUUUUUAUCACGGAUUUUUGCAUAUGAUGAAGCACCAUGUAGCCCUUAAUGAUGAUGGGAACCCAACAACAUUCUUGAAUGAUGCUUUUCUUGACUCUCAUGUAAACACAAGCCAUGAUGCAUCCAAUUAAUUGCCUCGUCUUCUACAAUAUGGGUAGUAUUGUAUAUAUUAUUUUAUUGUAUAUUGUCAAGUUAACAUGCUAACAUGUGAUUGGAGCCAGUACUAAGAAAAAUUGUCAUGUAGGGCUGGUUAAUUGAACAGUUACAGGACAGAUGCCCUUAAGCAUUUCUCGUUAAAAAUUCAGAUAAAUUCAAAAUUAUUUUCAACUAUAUCCUGCCAAGUUAGCACGCGAGAACAACAACAUAGUAUACUGUUCAAUACUCUUGCAUUCAUGCUUAGAUGUCCCUCCUUUUAGUAACUAUUGAAAUAGUGAUGUCUUGACAAUGAUGAUGAUGAUGACGGUUACCACCAUCUAUCGUACCUAUCUCCAUAAUAGACUACUGCUGGUGGGUCUACACUUAUUUUCUAGCCUUUUAUGUACUAUAUAGUAAAUUAUCAAAUGUCAUAGGCCACAUGAUUCUCUUAUUAAAAAAGAAAAAUACUGCAUAUCAAGCAAGCUUCCAAUAACAAUGUUACUACAACGAUUCUCUACUAAAAAUCACUAUUAAUCAUUAUAAUGGCUACAAAUUUACCUUAUAUUAUUAAUUUGGAUUUUUUUGUAACACUGAAAUUUGUAUUUGGAUCCUUUCUGAUUUGAAUUUGCAAUGACAACCAUUUAUAUAUUGCACGAUAGCCAUGAUUGGAUGAUCUUACACAUUUAUAAAGCAUAUUGUAAAAUAAUGGGGCUGAUGCAAUUACAAACACCAUGCAAUACAUGGACUGCUAUGUUUGCAGGUCAUCCCUCUCUAGUUCAAUGCCAAACUAGAGAGGAUCCAAAGUCGUCACAAAAUUAGAUUGAAUCUGUAGAAUGCUCUCUCUCACAUGAAGAGUAUAUAUACUUUUUAAUUUGUGUCAUAACUAUUAAUAUAAAUUAUUUUAGUUGAAAAAUAUAUUGAAUUAGGAUUUAAUAAAAAGGAAUUUUAUUCAUUAUCUACCACUAGGGAAAAUCAAUGCCAGUAGAAAGGAAUUGGAAUGGGCUCCUCUUGUUUAUUAUUGCAGUUAUAUAUUCUAAUAUGACGAUUUAUUUGUUAUAGUGGCAAAAAAGAAACCAUGACUUUAUAUACCAACCAUGUAAUACAUGGGUCAAAUAGUUAUAAAGAUGUUUCUAUUAGAAAACAAUUUGACUUGGUUGAUGUCGAGCAUGCGAUGAUUGAUGAGAGAAGUGGUGGGCUCUUUUUUAUUCCUCGACAAUGAGGACUUAAAAUCUGUCAUAUGAUUUAAAUGUUUGGCUAUAACAUUAGAGAUGUGUUGAGGUAGUUUGUCCCUGAACUUUUGAAAAUUAUUUCGUGCUUCAUUCAUAUGAUAAUGAUCAUUUUCUAAAUUAGAAUAAUAAUUAUCAUAUGAAUCAUAUGCUUUUUAUGAUAAUUAUCAUCAUAGAAACAAUGAUCAUAAUAAAUGAAGAAUGCAGAAUGAAUUGAGAAACACCAUGAAAAAGUGAGUAAGAACUACUAGAUAAAUUCUAGGGUAUGUCGAACUUACACUCUAGAGAAAAGAAAAGAAAAAAGGUACAUUGGAUAGCCUUAGAAGCCUUGUCCAUUUUUCUGAAUAUCCAUUGAAUGUGUAUAGAGCGUGAGGGAUCAUGAAUGGAGCUUCUCUUCCUUCUUAUAAUGUAGAUUGGUAGUUAUCUCCAUUAAUAACUAUGAUCUUUUAUUGUUUGCGCUAGUAUCUUCUUAUGGGUGGUUGCCGAUUGUUCUCCUAUAUGGAUAAUUUUUUUGUGUAACUAACUUUCUCUAGGUAGUUAACUCCAGCAAUAAACUACCCAUGUAUUGUCUUUUGUGUAAAUAACAAGUGGCUAACCUUGAUCCAUCCAAUUGCUAAGAUAUAAUUGAUUAAUAAAAAAUCUUGGUUGAUAUAAUUACCGACCACUUUUUUUGGAGUUGGUUGAUGAUCCAUUAAUUUUUAAAAGGUAAGUGCAGUUUUGUACCCUUUUUGAAUUUCAACCGCAAGGUUGUUUGGAACUGAGCAAAUGAGUUUAUAUUUCAAUUUAAGUUACAUGUAUUCAGAAUUGCAUGUAGCUUAGUAACAGAUAGGUGAUUUUAUUAUAUUUGAAAGGCCAUUACUGGAGAUGAUGUUGUUAUAAUUGUCUUUUAGUUUGAAAGGCUAGAACUGGAGGUUUUAUGUUUAAUGAAACAGCUUGGUUACAAGAAACUACAAGAAUUGCAGACAUCUGGAAAAUUAAGAUAAUGAACUUAUCCUAUUUCUCGUGUGCUUUUUUGCUGGAUAUAGUUUAUGGUUCUUGCAUAUCAUUAAGCAUCAUAUAACCCUUGUGUUUGGAGCCCCUAAACCCUACAUGAAUAAUGCUUGUUUUAACUCUCCUUAGGCACAAGCAAUAACACAGGAAUCUUGGUCCAAACUAACUGCAGUUUUUUUUGUGUGCAACCAUAUGGGUUUUGAUUUCAGCAGUCAAGAGUGGUUAAGCUUUAGGUUCAUCAGUUGCAGUGGAUAUCCUACAAAAACCAGAAUUAUCAAUUAAUAUUAGGGGAAAAUAUGGAGAAAAAUGAAAUUAACAGAACUCAACUAGGACUUUAUCGCAAACUAGUUGAGGUUGGCUACAUAAAUCCUUUUUCUCCAUUCCGCUCUAUUUAGGGCCAUGCUUUCUGAAAGAUGUUGAGAU
Molecule: non-coding RNA, 3308 nt
Organism: Phoenix dactylifera (date palm)
Lineage: Eukaryota; Viridiplantae; Streptophyta; Magnoliopsida; Arecales; Arecaceae
Source: RefSeq, a predicted model, not a curated record